AGCUCCAAUAGCGUAUAUUAAAGUUGUUGCAGUUAGAACGCUCGUAGUCGGAUUUCGGGGCGGGCCGACCGGUCUGCCGAUGGGUACGCACUGGUCGGCGCGUCCUUCCUUCCGGAGACCGUGCCUACUCUUAACUGAGCGGGGGCGGGAGACGGAACGUUUACUUUGAAAAAAUCAGAGUGUUUCAAGCAGGCAGCUCGCUCUUGCAUGGAUUAGCAUGGGAUAAUGAAAUAGGACUUUGGUGCUAUUUUGUUGGUUUCGAACACCGAAGUAAUGAUGAGAAGGGACAGUCAGGGGCACUCGUAUUCCGCCGAGAGAGGUGAAAUUCUCAGACCAGCGGAAGACGAACCACUGCGAAAGCAUUUGCCAGGGAUGUUUUCACUGAUCAAGAACGAAAGUA
This 400-nucleotide ribosomal RNA is filed under the name phytoplankton environmental sample. Its description in RNAcentral is "partial small subunit ribosomal RNA". It matches the Rfam family "Eukaryotic small subunit ribosomal RNA", at positions 587 to 991 of the family's 1831-position model. The record is from RNAcentral.